CCAAUCCCCCCUUUUCGAUGCCCGGAUUCCCAUUCCGGGACCAAAAAAGCCCAUUUUUUUUCAGCCCAAACCCCACAUUUCGGAUUUGGGGGUCCUCAAUUUGGGGCCAUUUGGGUUUUUGGGGCCAUUUCGAGGUUUUUCGGAGCCGUUUCGGGGUUUUUUGGGGGCCAUUUCAGGGUUUUUUUGGGGCCAUUUCGGGGCCGUCUCAGCGCUGGGAACACCGAAACCCGCUCUUAACGAGUCCCCGUCUCCCUCAGCGCCCGGCGGGGGCGUUAAUCAGCCUUAAUUAGAGGCGGGGCGGCCGCAGACGUUAAUUAGAGGCGCCGCGCGGCUGUUAAUUACAGGGGAGCGCCGUGCGGGGGCGGGGAGCGCUGCGAGCGGCGGAAACAGCCGAGCGGGGGCGGGAGGAGCCGAGCGAGGCCGGAAACAGCCGAGCGUGGGCGGGGGGAGGAGGGCAGAGCCGAGCGAGGCCGGAAAGGGCCGAGAUGGGGCGGAAGGAGCCGAGCGCUUCCGGAAAUAGUCGAGCGUGGGCGGGGGGAGGAGGGGAGAGCCGAGCGAAGCCGGAAAGGGCCGAGGAGAACCGGAAAGGGCCGAGAGAGGACGGAAGAAGCCGAGUGGGGGCGGCAGAAGACGAAAGGGACCGGAAAGAGCCGAGCGGGGCCGGAAAGGGCCGAGCGCUUCCGAAAGGAGCCGAGUGGGGGCAGAAGAAACUGGGGAAGACCGGAAAGAGCCGAGCGGGGCCGGAAGGAGCCGAGCUCUUCCGGAAAGGGCCGAAAGGGGGCGGGAGAAGCCGAGGGGGAACGGAAAGAGCCGAGCGGGGGGCCGAAGAAAUCGAGCGAUUCCGGAAGCAGCCUAGUGGGGCCGGAAGAGACGGAAGCCGGGACCGGAAGAGGCCCGAGCAGAGACCGGAAGAGUCCCGAGCAGAGACCGGAAGCGGAAGUCCCCGCGCAGGCGAGCCAAGAUGGCGGCCACGUGCGAUCACUGCGCGGCCGCCGGCGCUCCGUACACGUGUCCCCGCUGCAACCGCCGCCUCUGCUCCCUCGGCUGCUACCGCGGGCACGGGGCCUGCGCCGAGGCCUUCUACCGCGAGCAGGUGCUGCGGGAACUGCGCUCCGAACCGCC
Molecule: long non-coding RNA, 1122 nt
Filed under: Gallus gallus (chicken)
Lineage: Eukaryota; Metazoa; Chordata; Aves; Galliformes; Phasianidae
Description: lncRNA (ENSGALG00010000749.1)
Source: RNAcentral